Molecule: long non-coding RNA, 468 nt
Filed under: Fukomys damarensis (Damara mole-rat)
Lineage: Eukaryota; Metazoa; Chordata; Mammalia; Rodentia; Bathyergidae
Description: lncRNA (ENSFDAG00000024202.1)
Source: RNAcentral
CUUGGAGUGGACUAUAGAGGUUGAUCACUCAUCCAUCCUGCUGAUAAAUUAUAACCUUUUAGAGUUAUAAAAGGUUGCUUGAAUCUGUCCGCAGUCUAGAGAGCAGUAGUGUGGCCAUGCUCACCCAGGCCUUCUUGGACUUCCCAAAAUAGUCACAGAAAUGUCUGUCUACAAGGAGUAUAACCUCUGUUACCAGGAAGACAUAUCUUUUGGGAUCUCAGAAAAGUGUAGGUGUAGGGUUCCCAACCCCACAAUUAUUAUGGGUGCAGAAAGUCCCUGGCAAGGCCCAUGUUGAUGGAGAGGAGCUAUAUGGCACAGCAGAGUACAGAUUCAACGUGUCAUAAAGUAACAGAAGAACGUGAAGUUGGUGCCUCUGCCAAGGAUUUGAAGUUGACAGCCUCAUUAUUUGGUAUCAGAUUUUACCUCUUCACAUUCUUUAUUCCCAUGAUAAAUUGGUGGUUCUUUGAU